Molecule: long non-coding RNA, 540 nt
Filed under: Gossypium barbadense (sea-island cotton)
Lineage: Eukaryota; Viridiplantae; Streptophyta; Magnoliopsida; Malvales; Malvaceae
Description: long non-coding RNA (GBAR_LNC011937)
Source: RNAcentral
AACAUUCUAUCAGUAGAGCACACCCUGGAGAGAAUGGACCUGGUCCAUGCUUUAGUGGAGAAGGUUAGAAUCGACUUAAGAACAGGGCUAGUAACAAGGCACCCCAUUUCAGCAAGAAAUCUGGAUUUCGCAGUAUUAAAUCCAGCUUAUGUUGCAAAGAAGAACAAAUAUGUGUACGCGGCGGUUGGGGACCCAAUGCCAAAAAUAGCAGGAGUGGUGAAACUGGAUGUGUCUAAGGGAGAGCGGCAGGAGUGUAGUAGAAUGUAUGGGCCGGGCUGCUUUGGUGGGGAGCCAUUCUUUGUUGCCAAGGAGCCACAAAAUCCUGAGGCAGACGAGGAUGAUGGAUAUGUGGUUUCGUAUGUCCACAAUGAAAACACAGGAGAGUCAAGGUUCUUGGUGAUGGACGCACAAUCACACAAUCUUGACAUUGUGGCAGCCGUGAAGCUGCCACGUAGGGUUCCCUACGGUUUUCAUGGACUAUUUGUGAGGGAAAGUGACCUAAAUAAGCUGUAGAAGUAGAUUCACUUCCUCUCGGUCGGG